GGGUGUGAAGGCAAUCUGGCUGUGGUAUCUGCCAUCUCAUUGACCACUAGGGUUGAUUUUGCUCAUCUUGCUGGCUAGGUGAGUGUCCCUUUCCUCCCUUGUCAAUCAGUGUGUAUCUUUCCUGGAGCUGUGCCCUAGGUGGAAGAUAGCAAAUUUCUUGAAUAGAGGAAGUCAGUUCUUCAGUCAAAGGUAUACGAGUGGCUGUGCUCCUCAGUCAGAAUCGCCAAACAAGCUCUCAAGGUCCAGCUUGACCAUUUUCAAGUGUACAGUUCAGAGAUAUUGAUAUAUUCCUCUUGUAGUAU
Molecule: small nuclear RNA, 302 nt
Filed under: Nannospalax galili (Upper Galilee mountains blind mole rat)
Lineage: Eukaryota; Metazoa; Chordata; Mammalia; Rodentia; Spalacidae
Description: 7SK RNA (ENSNGAG00000008040.1)
Rfam family: 7SK RNA
About the family: 7SK was discovered as an abundant small nuclear RNA in the mid-70s but a possible function has only recently been suggested. Two independent studies have found that 7SK RNA binds the CDK9/cyclin T complex (known as elongation factor P-TEFb).
Source: Rfam by way of RNAcentral